ACUAUUCCUCCCCGCCCCCAACGACCAAGAGCCCCGACCCCGAGCCCUCGACGCCAUCUCCUUCUCCUCCACCUCCGCCCUCAUAGACUCUCCCUUUCCACUGUUCUACACCUUUCUCCCUUGCUCUCUAUUACUUCUUCCUCCAUUCCAUCAACCGACGGUCGUGCAAUUACCUCGUUGCUGCAAGUUCAUCGCUGGGUGAAUAGCCUUUUCCAGGUGUCAAGCAUGCUGUAGCUGACCUAUGCAGUGAACAUGACCAUCAAAGGGUCACUGAAUAAAAGAAGCUGUCGAGGUCUGGAUUGUUUUGGUAACUAAGUUCUCGUAGAGGCUCAAGAAGACGGCUUACAUGCAAAAUUUGGAGACUGUUGGGAGUUCAAGUCUUUAAGAAAUUACAGCUCAAUCUUGAUAGCUUGUUAAGGUGAUUAUGGUUCUUUCUCUGUCCUAAUAUGCCUGUGUGAAAAUAGUGGGGUUUUUUAUUAGGUUGCUCCAUUCUUAGAUUGUUAUUUUCACUUUGUCCAGUCGUUUGGUUUUCCUUCAUCCGAUUGUGAGUUUUCAGCCAUCUCUACUGUGAGUUUUCAGCCAUCAUUUAAUGCACCUGAAGCAAAUUUGUAAAAUUUUCCAUGGUUUUUCAAACUGUCUUUUUAACAAGUCAUGGUUGUUAGAUUUCUGUAACGUCUGGCAUCUUGCAUACAUCUAUCUAAUUGGAUUUCAGCUGGGGCUCUUCUCUUUUGGCCAAUAUAAUUUUGAGAAUUUUUGGGCUUGUAGUUUCUCUUUGUGUGUCGUUUUUGUCUUGUAGUUACCCUUGAUCCGGCGGCGGUUGAUGAACCCCAGGCCCAAUCGGUUAGAGACCGGCGAUUCCAACGGAUUGGAGCCGGACAUCCUGCUGCUGGAGGGUGAUUUUGGGUGACUGAAACACUAAUGCUUCUUCUUCCUCUUCGAAGUUUCAAUCCAGGAAAACCCCACACGGACAGUGAAAAAGACAGAGGGAGAGAUGACCCCGCCCAAAAAAAAAAAAAAAAACAAGACGAGACUCUCAGAAGAAAAAUCUUGCAAGGAAAAAACAGAGGAAACAGAAAUCUUGAUUUACUGAUUCAAGAAACAAAAAUAAAGAAUAAAAAAGAUCGGACCUUCCA
This is a long non-coding RNA of Nymphaea colorata (pocket water lily), 1133 nucleotides long. RefSeq lists it as uncharacterized. Lineage: Eukaryota; Viridiplantae; Streptophyta; Magnoliopsida; Nymphaeales; Nymphaeaceae. The transcript has 3 exons. The record is from RefSeq and is a predicted model, not a curated record.